Molecule: long non-coding RNA, 615 nt
Organism: Leopardus geoffroyi (Geoffroy's cat)
Lineage: Eukaryota; Metazoa; Chordata; Mammalia; Carnivora; Felidae
Exons: 3
Source: RefSeq, a predicted model, not a curated record
UCCUGGAGGAUCCUGGCUGGGGGCUACUAGUUGCUGGCAGGAGGCCGAGAGGCAGAGAGGGCUCAGAUAAAGAUCAAGGUCAAUGAAAGCAGAAGCAACAAAUACAAGCCAGUCGGGACAGAGAGAAAAAGAGGGCAGAAAACACCCAGAGAGGAGGAGACGAGACCCCCUUCAGACCCCUCAGGCUGCGAGGAGACACCGGCUCAGCCUAGAGCUCCCUCUCUGGGGGCAGAAACAUGAGGCACCCACAGGGCAGAAGAGGAGUAAGAAACUUAUUAACAAGAGCACAUUAUUCGUAGCAGUGACUGGGAACCAAAUUCCUGGCAAAGCUUGAACAACUGUGGCAAAAACCUGCCCGGAGUGCUUCCUGCCUUCUCACUGAGAUUCAGAAUAAACACUUCCUGAAGCCUUGUCGUCACCACACAAUGUGUAGGAGCUUCUAUAUACAGUGGAUUCUCAUUAGUCCCAGUAGUUAUGUUCUAUACAGUCACUGCAAACACUCACUGAGCUAGCAAAUACCGAACUGUUGUUUCUGGGGGAAUUGCAGGGUUAAGUUCCUGAGAGCCCCUGGUUACAUUUUCAUCAACCCAUCAAUACACAACCUCCUUUUAUGUA